RNAcentral lists this ribosomal RNA (625 nucleotides) under Escherichia coli. Its description in RNAcentral is "partial 23S ribosomal RNA". It matches the Rfam family "Bacterial large subunit ribosomal RNA", at positions 2297 to 2916 of the family's 2925-position model. Lineage: Bacteria; Pseudomonadati; Pseudomonadota; Gammaproteobacteria; Enterobacterales; Enterobacteriaceae. The record is from RNAcentral.
GUAACGGAGGAGCACGAAGGUUGGCUAAUCCUGGUCGGACAUCAGGAGGUUAGUGCAAUGGCAUAAGCCAGCUUGACUGCGAGCGUGACGGCGCGAGCAGGUGCGAAAGCAGGUCAUAGUGAUCCGGUGGUUCUGAAUGGAAGGGCCAUCGCUCAACGGAUAAAAGGUACUCCGGGGAUAACAGGCUGAUACCGCCCAAGAGUUCAUAUCGACGGCGGUGUUUGGCACCUCGAUGUCGGCUCAUCACAUCCUGGGGCUGAAGUAGGUCCCAAGGGUAUGGCUGUUCGCCAUUUAAAGUGGUACGCGAGCUGGGUUUAGAACGUCGUGAGACAGUUCGGUCCCUAUCUGCCGUGGGCGCUGGAGAACUGAGGGGGGCUGCUCCUAGUACGAGAGGACCGGAGUGGACGCAUCACUGGUGUUCGGGUUGUCAUGCCAAUGGCACUGCCCGGUAGCUAAAUGCGGAAGAGAUAAGUGCUGAAAGCAUCUAAGCACGAAACUUGCCCCGAGAUGAGUUCUCCCUGACUCCUUGAGAGUCCUGAAGGAACGUUGAAGACGACGACGUUGAUAGGCCGGGUGUGUAAGCGCAGCGAUGCGUUGAGCUAACCGGUACUAAUGAACCGUGAGG